This is a non-coding RNA of Arachis ipaensis, 1800 nucleotides long. The record is from RefSeq and is a predicted model, not a curated record. Lineage: Eukaryota; Viridiplantae; Streptophyta; Magnoliopsida; Fabales; Fabaceae.
UUUUUAGUUAUUUUUGCUAUUUUAUAUGUUAAUCUUUUUUAUACUGGCUAAAAUUUUCAUUGAUUAAUUAUUUAUUUAUUUUUUUAUUUUCUGUGAUUUUUCAUCAUUUUUUUUCUGAUUAUCAAUAGAAAAUAAAAAUGAAAAAAAUUGUGAAAAUUACUUAAACUUUGGGGGAAAUAAAAUUUAUUGAUAUCAAAAACUCUGAAAUGAAUAAAAAAAAAUUAUAUUAUUAUAUAUUUUUCUCAAUAUUUAGUUCUUUUUAACUAUCAUAAAUAUUAAAAAAAUUUAGUCCUUAAUAAUUGUGUAAUUAAUUGUCUUCUCUAAUAAUUAAUUCGUCAUAACCGUUCUUUAGUGUAAUUUAUUUUAAAAAAAUGAUCCACAUAAUUUUAAUUAUUAUCUUCUUUCUUCUAUUAGUAUUUUCCCCAUCUUUUAACAUCACCAACGAAACAUAAAAAAACCAAAGGUCACUCCCUCUUCUCCCCCCACACGCAAUAAAAAAAAGAACGUCACAAACAAGAGCUAACGCAGUGACCGUCCAUCCUCUCUCUGUGGCGUCUCACCUCACUCAACCCAGAAACCCACCACCCAACUUUUUCAGGGUUAAACCCCAUAUCUUCCUACAACAUACGAAGUUGUCGUCAUCUGCAAUGGUCCCGGUGCCUCCAAUUCGUUCAACAGACAAAUCUCUGGCAGUUUUUCGGCGGAUAGUCCUCUUGCUUGGGCUCUUGAGAGAUCGAGGUUAUAUACUUCGUCCAAUUAACAAGUGACGUGAUGAUGAGAUAGCUAAAACAGGUUUUUUACGCACUAUGUUCCUACGAUGAGUCUUGUUGCAUGUAGAACUGAUCGCAAAAAGUCGAGAUUAUAUUGUUUUUGUUUUCUAUUAAGGAUUUCUUGUUAUAUAUGUUGUAAACAUACUGAAUUGAGUUGAUUUAGGCAUUUCUUUGGCAUAAGAGAGCAUUGGCGAAAUGAUAAGGAAUCAAGAAUUAUGUUUCACACAUACAAAGGACGGGUACAUAUUUAGAUUAAUAUAUAAUUUGUGCUUUUUUUUAAUAGUCAUGUGAUCAAUAGAUAAAUCAUAUAUAACUGAAUUAAUAAAAUUUAUGAUAAAAAAUUAAAUGCAUGUGAUAAGACUCUUUUUGUUUUUAGGAUGAGGUUUUGGUUCUAGAGAUAAUAAUUGCUAGAUAUGGUGCCGAGCUGAAACAUGAAAUUAUCCUAAUUGAUCUCUGUGACAAUUGUAUCAAGCUUAAAUUAAAAAAUUGGGGAAACAAAAUCUGGAUACCUUCGGAUGAGAUAGACAAGUUAUUUGCUUUCUAUAAGUUCAAAAGCAUAGUCAAGAUCGGUUUAAUGUAUGUCACAAGUGGCAUAUUUUUUGUGGCUCCUGUGGAUAGGCGAAAUAAUCCAAUUUAUAUGGAUUUUUAUGCAUCUCACUAUGUUAAAGAUAUUAUUGGUAUAUCUUUGUUAAAAGUAAUCCAAGAUAAGUUGGGGGUUGAACUACUUUGAUGGAUUGGAUGAUGUUGCAUAUGGUAUAGAAGAUAAUGGGAUCCAUGGGAAUAUGAAAAUGUUAGAGUUUAUAGUUUUCUUUUUUUUUAUUCUUAAUUAUUGUUAGUUUUAUACAUCUUAUAUUUUUUAUUAACAUAUUUAUUUCAAUAUAUAUCUAUAAUUCAUUAUGUAAUAAAAUGUUAUUAUUUGAUUCUUCUAUUCUCUAUCUGUUUUUUUAUUAUUUUUUAAUUUGUUCUUUUUUUGUUAAUUAUACUUGAAGUUCUGGUGUGCAAAGGAUUGGGAAGAACAAUUCCAAUGAAA